This 432-nucleotide ribosomal RNA is filed under the name uncultured Actinomycetales bacterium. RNAcentral describes it as "bacterial SSU rRNA". It matches the Rfam family "Bacterial small subunit ribosomal RNA", at positions 28 to 477 of the family's 1533-position model. Lineage: Bacteria; Bacillati; Actinomycetota; Actinomycetes; Actinomycetales. The record is from RNAcentral.
GACGAACGCUGCGGCGUGCUUAACACAUGCAAGUCGAGCGAUGAAACACCUUCGGGUGUGAAUUAGCGGCGAACGGGUGAGGAACACGUGAGAAAUCUGCCUUCAACUCUGGGAUAACUCCGGGAAACCGGGGCUAAUACCGGAUAUGAGCCUUGAUCGCAUGAUCGGGGCUGGAAAGUUUUUCGGUUGAAGAUGAUCUCGCGGCCUAUCAGCUUGUUGGUGAGGUAAUGGCUCACCAAGGCGACGACGGGUAGCCGGCCUGAGAGGGCGACCGGCCACACUGGGACUGAGACACGGCCCAGACUCCUACGGGAGGCAGCAGUGGGGAAUAUUGGGCAAUGGAGGAAACUCUGACCCAGCGACGCCGCGUGAGGGAUGAAGGCCUUCGGGUUGUAAACCUCUUUCAGUAGGGAAGAAGCGAAAGUGACGGUA